This 223-nucleotide unclassified non-coding RNA is filed under the name Hevea brasiliensis (rubber tree). The record is from RNAcentral. Lineage: Eukaryota; Viridiplantae; Streptophyta; Magnoliopsida; Malpighiales; Euphorbiaceae.
CUUUAAGCCGUUUUGGUGCCGUGUUCUGCGGCUUCCGCCCCCUGUUUCAUCUAUCUAGGUUAGCUAGUUCAGCUCUUGCACGCAAAAUUGCCUACCAUCAAGCAGGAGUCUAGUCCAACUUAAGACUAUCCUCUGCCCUUCUAGCCCUAUAUGGCCUCAUCGCCCGAUCACCGUAUCCGAGAGGCUGCAGUUAGAAAGCAAAGCAAUGGACCUCCAUUCAAGU